ACAGCUCCCGAACCAGAACCGGUACCGGAAAUCGAACCAGAACCGGAAGAGCCACUACCCCCUACAGAACCAAUCAGAGUUCCACACAGGGUUUCCGACAAGAUGAUAGCUGAAGUUGCAAAAUACAAGAUUCCGUCCGACCGGUUUUCUGUGCUGGUAAAUGCUCUGGGCUUCACAACAAAGGAUUUUGGAAAAGCAGUGUCGGACAACAUAAGCUCUCAUGGAAGUAGAAAAGGGUAUAUAGGGACCAAAAACAUUCUUACCCGAUGGCGGAACAAAACAGAAGUUGCAAAACAGCGUCCGGAGUUAAGAGAGGCAUUUACAAGAUCAAACUUGCCGCACUUGAUAAAGAGGUACCUUAAACUGGAACACGAUUUCCUUGAUUGAAACCUGGGCCUAUGGAUUUUCUAGACCAUCCCUUAAAGACCGACGCAAACUACACAAUCCGAUCAGAUUUAAAUGUAUAUACAUGCAUAAAUAUGUAUAUAUAUAUAUAUAUAUAUAUAUUGGUAUUGAUAUUGGUGGUGAUUUUGUACCUGAUUGCUAAGAAAGUAUGAAUGCUUGUAAGCAAGCAACCAGAGGACCGACGGCUUAAGGUCCUCUCCGAAGGACCUGGUACUGAGGAUUAAUGCCUUACCAAAGGGCACUAGCGCACCAAGUGGGACUCGAACCCGGGUCACCGGAAUACGAAUCCCCCGCUCUACCGACUGAGCUAUCGUGUGUGUGUGAGGGUGUGUGUAUAUGUGUGAGGGUGAGUGUGUGUGUAUAUAUAUAUAUAUAUAUAUAUAUAUAUAUAUACAUACAUAUGCAUGUAAGUUCCGAUUAGUUGUAUUAAUAUUAAAAUCGAAUUAUCCAGAUUUUUUUUCUCCAGAAUCGAGAUUCUCUUUCGGAAGAGAAGCAAAUCCAAAACCAAAACAUAUUGACACCAUCAUCGGCUGCGAUUUGAAAUCGAUUUGAAGCUUAGAUCGACCACAAGGUUUGCAGCAAAAUAGAAACCUGAUUCAAGUUUUUCGACUAGUUUACAUACUUUUCAUCGUGUUCAUGUUAAAUGAAAAAUACGAUUUGUUCAAAAAUCUUGUAGUCGGAUCGUGCAGUCUGCCCUGGGCUUUAGUAUGUGCGCGAGUGUGCUUUUGCACGUGUGUGUGUGUAUGUUGGCCUUUUUACAAAAUCUUGGUAUUUAAUACUGAAAAUCAACUUCUCCAAAUAAAAGAUAUCGUUCACGCUAUACCAACAAGUUACACCAACACGCUAUACCAUUUUUUUUUUUUUGUUCAAUAAAGUUUAAAAAGAUUGAUUUCGUAGACUUUUGGAUAAGUAUGAAUACACUCUAAAAAUAUUGGGUAAAAAUGCUUCAUAAGGGUAAUUAUGUGUCAAACCAACAUUGGGCAUUUUUAUCUAUCCUGUGUGAUGAAAAUUUUGCCCAUUCUAAAGUAAUUGCUGCUUACUUUUCAACCUUACUGGGCAAUAUGCUUCCCGCAUUGGGUAAAAUACUGCCCCAAAUUGGUAGGACACAACUCGUGCUGGUUAAAAUUUACCCAAUAUUUCUUUACAGUAUAUUGGAAGGCAGGAAACAGUCUUUGAGGUAAUUAAACAACAACAAUUUAUUACCUAUUUAUUGUCAAUCUGCAAGAAUAAAUUAACACUCAUGGAUGGUUACAGUGAUUGUAAUGUUACUGAUGUAGAAAUUUGUAAAUUGUUUGGAUAUAUUCAAUAAAUUGACCUACCAUCUCUGUCUCUAAUUUGAUAAAAGACUAAUUCCUGAUUUGACCCAAUCUACCUUGUACCUUGUAGUUCUAUUCCCUGAAGUCCUCCACCAGGAAGGGUAACUCAGGGCUGACGAGAGUGGGAGUAUUGUUACUCUGUUUUGUUUUGUUGCAGGUUUUACAUAAAAUCUGCAUUUUUUCUUAAAGUAUUAAUUCGAUAACUUUUUUUUUGUUUCUCUCUUCAUAUUAUACGAUGAAGGUUAAUUUAUAUAGAAGUAUUGGAAUUACAUGUUUGAAUUUAUUGCUAUUUUGUGUUAUUCCAUGUAGGCACCAGCCAAUGUGGAGAACCUCUCGACAGAAUUUUCCAUUCUUUUAGGUGAUCCCCAGGCAUUGGCUGGUGCUCAAUAUUACAUUUCUUUUGUAAUGUUUCUAUUGCUGUCAUGUUUUCUUGCAUGGAAAUAAAAUGAAUAAGUAAAUAAAUAAAUAUAACAAGCAGAACUCUUAUAAGAAAACAAAGAGAAUUCAGUUUUUAAAAGCUUAAAAACUUUUACAUGGGGCAAUAUACAAAAGAACAUUUGAAGAGAUUUUGUUUUGUUGGGAUAAUUACUGCUCAUUUUGUCGUACACAAACUGAAUUAUACUUUCAUAUAUUGAUGCAUUGUAUGAAAGUUAAACCUCUGUGGCAAUUUUGUAUUGAUCAUUUCUGUUUAAUUGAAUUAAGAACUAUAAAUUGGAAGGAUAUUUUCUUAGGACUACCUGGACAUUCUAAUAGUGUUAAUUCUGUUUUUUUUUUUAAUAAAAUAUGCCAUUUUUAAUUCUAGAGCUGGAGGCCGGGUACCUUCUUUCACCAAAAUACAUUUAUUACGGGUUGCAUAGAGGAAGAAAGUCGCUUGGCAUCAAAGCCAAGCAAGAUUAGUUUACUUACUAAAACAGAAAUGGGAUACAUUGAAGGUGAAUAGAUAUUUAAAUGUGAACAGGUAGGAUGUGUCUAGUGUGGUGUGAGUUUUAUUUUUGGUGUGACUCUUCAUGAUUGAUUUCGUACUAUUUCUUUUCGAUAUCCCCUUCUCUUGUGUCAAUCUGAUUUGCAGAUUUCAUUCUUUCUGUACCUUAUGUCAAAAUUAAAUGUCCAUGAACAUA
Lytechinus pictus (painted urchin) is the source of this 2839-nucleotide long non-coding RNA. RefSeq lists it as uncharacterized. NCBI's taxonomy places the organism in Eukaryota, Metazoa, Echinodermata, Echinoidea, Temnopleuroida, Toxopneustidae. The transcript has 2 exons. The record is from RefSeq and is a predicted model, not a curated record.